AUUGAACGCUGGCGGCAUGCCUUACACAUGCAAGUCGAACGGCAGCAUAGGAGCUUGCUCCUGAUGGCGAGUGGCGAACGGGUGAGUAAUAUAUCGGAACGUGCCCUAGAGUGGGGGAUAACUAGUCGAAAGACUAGCUAAUACCGCAUACGAUCUACGGAUGAAAGUGGGGGAUCGCAAGACCUCAUGCCCCUGGAGCGGCCGAUAUCUGAUUAGCUAGUUGGUGGGGUAAAAGCCUACCAAGGCAACGAUCAGUAGCUGGUCUGAGAGGACGACCAGCCACACUGGGAUUGAGACACGGCCCAGACUCCUACGGGAGGCAGCAGUGGGGAAUUUUGGACAAUGGGGGCAACCCUGAUCCAGCAACGCCGCGUGAGUGAAGAGGGCCUUCGGGUUGUAAAGCUCUUUUGUCAGGGAAGAAACGGUAGUAGCGAAUAACUAUUACUAAUGACGGUACCUGAAGAAUAAGCACCGGCUAACUACGUGCCAGCAGCCGCCGUAA
This 502-nucleotide ribosomal RNA is filed under the name uncultured bacterium. RNAcentral describes it as "partial 16S ribosomal RNA". It matches the Rfam family "Bacterial small subunit ribosomal RNA", at positions 30 to 523 of the family's 1533-position model. The record is from RNAcentral.